CACAUGCGAAGUAUUUUCUCUCAGAAGGGCGGAAACUGGUCUGGUGGCGGGGAGGAGUUACGUUUCCGAAUGGAACUGCAACGAGAGUAUGGGACGUCCUGGGAGAUAAUGGAUUUAUUUGAUCGAGAGAAUAUUUCAAAAUGAGAAGAUCCUGCCAUGGAAAGAUGACUGGUUGGACAUAAAAUGGAAAUGAGAAGUAACUCCCACCAUGCAGCAGGACACCUUCAACUGCAGGGUCUUUGUAAUGCAGAUGGCCAAGGAAGUUGCACAGAACUUCUCCAACAUCCCCUCCCAAAUUGAUAUAGAACCUUCACAAAAACACAUGGAGCAACUGUGAAAAGAAAUGGCUGAGGAUAUACUAAACAUGUCUGAGUUCAACAAAGCCAAUGACUGCUUCAUGUGUGCCACUGAUAAAGAACCUGGAUUUGGCCCAAAGACUGACUGGGUUAGUAACUUUAUCUAACAUGUUUAUAAUCUUUUGAAAACAGUGUCGGCAUGUAAGACCAUUUAUGAUAUAACACAAUGGAUGGCUAAUUCGUCAUACUGCAUUGAAAUGUGAUAUUAUUUAUAACGUGUUACGUUUUGAUUUAGAUUGAAUGUUUUGCAUGCCAAAAAGAGUUCAACAGAGUGAAGAACAUCAACUGGAAGUGCUGUCUUUGUUGUUGUAAAUGUAUGCUAUACCCCAUCCACACUGAAGAGGCUCUGACAUGUACAUCAACCAGGGAUAAUGUAUGCUAUACCCCAUCCACACUGAAGAGGCU
This is a long non-coding RNA of Oncorhynchus tshawytscha (Chinook salmon), 761 nucleotides long. RefSeq lists it as uncharacterized. The transcript is spliced from 4 exons. Lineage: Eukaryota; Metazoa; Chordata; Actinopteri; Salmoniformes; Salmonidae. The record is from RefSeq and is a predicted model, not a curated record.